RNAcentral lists this ribosomal RNA (446 nucleotides) under uncultured bacterium. RNAcentral describes it as "partial 16S ribosomal RNA". It matches the Rfam family "Bacterial small subunit ribosomal RNA", at positions 338 to 795 of the family's 1533-position model. The record is from RNAcentral.
CCUACGGGGGGCAGCAGUCGAGAAUCAUUCACAAUGGGGGAAACCCUGAUGGUGCGACGCCGCGUGGGGGAAUGAAGGUCUUCGGAUUGUAAACCCCUGUCAUGUGGGAGCAAAUUAAAAAGAUAGUACCACAAGAGGAAGAGACGGCUAACUCUGUGCCAGCAGCCGCGGUAAUACAGAGGUCUCAAGCGUUGUUCGGAAUCACGGGGCGUAAGGGGUGCGUAGGCUGUUGCGUAAGUCGUGUGUGAAAGGCGCGGGCUCAACCCGCGGACGGCACAUGAUACUGCGAGACUAGAGUAAUGGAGGGGGAACCGGAAUUCUCGGUGUAGCAGUGAAAUGCGUAGAUAUUGAGAGGAACACUCGUGGCGAAGGCGGGUUCCUGGACAUUAACUGACGCUGAGGCACGAAGGCCAGGGGAGCGAAAGGGAUUAGAUACCCUUGUAGUC